This is a long non-coding RNA of Dendronephthya gigantea, 153 nucleotides long. RefSeq lists it as uncharacterized. The transcript is spliced from 3 exons. The record is from RefSeq and is a predicted model, not a curated record. Lineage: Eukaryota; Metazoa; Cnidaria; Anthozoa; Malacalcyonacea; Nephtheidae.
GUGAAAGGUGCUGGCAUGGUUCUGAAGGCGAUAAUCGAGGCAAUUGAGUGGACAUCUUGUGGCUCUCUGGACAACUGGUCGUCCAACAGCAAUGGCAUUACUUGUGAGAAUAAUCCACCAGAGACUAAAGAAGAUCAUUUAUCAAUUCGUGAC